This is a non-coding RNA of Aegilops tauschii subsp. strangulata, 490 nucleotides long. Lineage: Eukaryota; Viridiplantae; Streptophyta; Magnoliopsida; Poales; Poaceae. The record is from RefSeq and is a predicted model, not a curated record.
AUGUGUUGCUGCUAUAUGCAGGUGUAUCAAGUUUCACAAGGUCAGUGAUUAUUGAACCAUCUGGAGUCUGUACUGGAGGCAUACAGUAGGAGCGCGGCGCUGAACAGUUGAACAAAACUCAGCUUCAAUUAAUCGAAAUGCGCAUGUAGAAGCUGAUCUGCCUGAUGCUAAUACGUGAAUACAAGGAGCUCACCUCGGCUGGUGCGACGGACAUGGCGAAUGGAGUGCGAGGCAAUGGCAGUCGUGGCGCAGCAUCACCGGGAGGACGGCCUUGAGGUGCAGAGAAGAGAUAUCGGAUGAAUCAGAAACUGAAGAUGACGAUACAAUGGACACAGAAGAAGCUUCCUCUGUCCUCAUCGCCGCACUGUAGUCUUUCAGCCAUGCUCUGGUGAAUGAUGACGGAGAAAAAGAUACCGAAACUGCUCUACAGACGACAAAACAGUAGACGAUGCCAGGACGAUUAAGAAUCCGACGGCCAUGGCUUCCCUAU